GAUGAACGCUGGCGGCGUGCUUAACACAUGCAAGUCGAACGAUGAAGCCCAGCUUGCUGGGUGGAUUAGUGGCGAACGGGUGAGUAACACGUGAGUAACCUGCCCUUAACUCUGGGAUAAGCCUGGGAAACUGGGUCUAAUACCGGAUAGGAGCGUCCACCGCAUGGUGGGUGUUGGAAAGAUUUAUCGGUUUUGGAUGGACUCGCGGCCUAUCAGCUUGUUGGUGAGGUAAUGGCUCACCAAGGCGACGACGGGUAGCCGGCCUGAGAGGGUGACCGGCCACACUGGGACUGAGACACGGCCCAGACUCCUACGGGAGGCAGCAGUGGGGAAUAUUGCACAAUGGGCGCAAGCCUGAUGCAGCGACGCCGCGUGAGGGAUGACGGCCUUCGGGUUGUAAACCUCUUUCAGUAGGGAAGAAGCGAAAGUGACGGUACCUGCAGAAGAAGCAUCGGCUAACUACGUG
Molecule: ribosomal RNA, 466 nt
Filed under: uncultured bacterium
Lineage: Bacteria
Description: partial 16S ribosomal RNA
Rfam family: Bacterial small subunit ribosomal RNA
Source: RNAcentral